RNAcentral lists this ribosomal RNA (394 nucleotides) under uncultured soil bacterium. RNAcentral describes it as "bacterial SSU rRNA". It matches the Rfam family "Bacterial small subunit ribosomal RNA", at positions 26 to 413 of the family's 1533-position model. The record is from RNAcentral.
AGAUUGAACGCUGGCGGCAGGCCUAACACAUGCAAGUCGAGCGGUAGAGGGGUGCUUGCAUCUCUUGAGAGCGGCGGACGGGUGAGUAAUGCCUAGGAAUCUGCCUAGUGGUGGGGGAUAACGUUCGGAAACGGACGCUAAUACCGCAUACGUCCUACGGGAGAAAGGCGGGGGACCUUCGGGCCUCGCGCCAUUAGAUGAGCCUAGGUCGGAUUAGCUAGUUGGUGAGGUAAUGGCUCACCAAGGCGACGAUCCGUAACUGGUCUGAGAGGAUGAUCAGUCACACUGGAACUGAGACACGGUCCAGACCUCCGUACGGGAGGCAGCAGGUGGGAAUAGUGGACAAGUGGGACGAAAGCCUAGAUCCCGAAGCCUAAUCGUCCGCGGUGUGGUA